GCAAGUCGAACGCCCCGCAAGGGGAGUGGCAGACGGGUGAGUAACGCGUGGGAACAUACCCUUUCCUGCGGAAUAGCUCCGGGAAACUGGAAUUAAUACCGCAUACGCCCUACGGGGGAAAGAUUUAUCGGGGAAGGAUUGGCCCGCGUUGGAUUAGCUAGUUGGUGGGGUAAAGGCCUACCAAGGCGACGAUCCAUAGCUGGUCUGAGAGGAUGAUCAGCCACAUUGGGACUGAGACACGGCCCAAACUCCUACGGGAGGCAGCAGUGGGGAAUAUUGGACAAUGGGCGCAAGCCUGAUCCAGCCAUGCCGCGUGAGUGAUGAAGGCCUUAGGGUUGUAAAGCUCUUUCACCGGAGAAGAUAAUGACGGUCUCCGGAGAAGAAGCCCCGGCUAACUUCGUGCCAGCAGCCGCGGU
RNAcentral lists this ribosomal RNA (416 nucleotides) under Agrobacterium tumefaciens. Its description in RNAcentral is "bacterial SSU rRNA". It matches the Rfam family "Bacterial small subunit ribosomal RNA", at positions 57 to 521 of the family's 1533-position model. The record is from RNAcentral. Lineage: Bacteria; Pseudomonadati; Pseudomonadota; Alphaproteobacteria; Hyphomicrobiales; Rhizobiaceae.